AACGAACGCUGGCGGCGCGUCUUAAACAUGCAAGUCGAACGAUCUGUAGCAAUACAGGGAGUGGCGGACGGGUGAGGAACACGUAGGAAUCUACCUUGAAGAGCGGGACAACUUUGGGAAACCGGGGCUAAUACCGCAUAGUACAGAGAUGUUAAAGGGCUAGCAAUAGUCGCUUCGAGAUGAGCCUGCGGUCUAUCAGCUUGUUGGUGAGGUAAUGGCUCACCAAGGCUACGACGGAUAGCCGGUCUGAGAGGAUGAUCGGCCACACUGGCACUGAGACACGGGCCAGACUCCUACGGGAGGCAGCAGUUAAGGAUCUUGCGCAAUGGGGGAAACCCUGACGCAGCGACGCCGCGUGAAGGAUGGAGGCUUUCGGGUUGUAAACUUCGGUAGACUGGGAAGAAGAAAUACGUUCGUUGAGGGCGUAUAGUGACGGUACCAGUCUGAAGCCCCGGCUAAUUACGUGCCAGCAG
RNAcentral lists this ribosomal RNA (473 nucleotides) under uncultured bacterium. Its description in RNAcentral is "bacterial SSU rRNA". It matches the Rfam family "Bacterial small subunit ribosomal RNA", at positions 29 to 514 of the family's 1533-position model. The record is from RNAcentral.